This 432-nucleotide ribosomal RNA is filed under the name uncultured bacterium. RNAcentral's name for it is "partial 16S ribosomal RNA". It matches the Rfam family "Bacterial small subunit ribosomal RNA", at positions 29 to 506 of the family's 1533-position model. The record is from RNAcentral.
AACGAACGCUGGCGGCAUGCCUAACACAUGCAAGUCGAACGAGACCUUCGGGUCUAGUGGCGCACGGGUGCGUAACGCGUGGGAACCUGCCCUUAGGUUCGGAAUAACUCCCCGAAAGGGGUGCUAGUACCGGAUAAUGUCUUCGGACCAAAGAUUUAUCGCCUUUGGAUGGGCCCGCGUUGGAUUAGCUAGUUGGUAGGGUAAAAGCCUACCAAGGCGACGAUCCAUAGCUGGUCUGAGAGGAUGAUCAGCCACACUGGGACUGAGACACGGCCCAGACUCCUACGGGAGGCAGCAGUGGGGAAUAUUGGACAAUGGGCGAAAGCCUGAUCCAGCAAUGCCGCGUGAGUGAUGAAGGCCUUAGGGUUGUAAAGCUCUUUUACCCGGGAUGAUAAUGACAGUACCGGGAGAAUAAGCUCCGGCUAACUCCGU